CGGUGAAUCGUUCACCGCGUUCUCCUAUUUCUUUUAAAGACGGUGAAUCGUUCACCGCGUUCUCCUAUUUCUUUUAAAGGCGGUAAAUCAUUCACCGUUUUCUCCCAUAACUUAUUACUGUUAUUUUCUAUAUUCCAUAUAUAAUCCUAACAACCACAUAAAAAUUCUAACAAAUUAUAUAUAAUCUUAACAACCUUUAAAUCCUAAUAAUUUAUCUAUAUAAUUUCAUAUAAUCUUAACUGCCUUUAUAUGAAAUUAUAUGGAUAAAUUAUUAGGAUUUAAAAGUUGUUAAGAUUAUAUGGGAUAUAGAAAGAAACAGUAAAUAAGUGAAAAGCGGUGAAUGAUUUACCGUUUUUAAAAGAAAUGGGAGAAAGCGGUGAAUGAUUUACCGUCUUUAAAAGAAAUGGGAGAAAGCGGUGAACGAUUUACCGCCUUUAAAAUAAAAGAAAUAAGAGAAAACGGCGAACGAUUCACCGUCUUUAUAAAAAAAUCCUGACGUGGCGCCUACGUGGCGAAAGGAGGGUUAGUUUUACAAAUAAAAUUUUUACAUGGUUAUUUUGCCAAUUACAAUUUUUUAGAGGGUCAUUUUAUAAAAAAG
RNAcentral lists this long non-coding RNA (598 nucleotides) under Ananas comosus (pineapple). RNAcentral describes it as "long non-coding RNA (ACOM_LNC033009)". The record is from RNAcentral. Lineage: Eukaryota; Viridiplantae; Streptophyta; Magnoliopsida; Poales; Bromeliaceae.